Molecule: ribosomal RNA, 348 nt
Filed under: Triticum aestivum (bread wheat)
Lineage: Eukaryota; Viridiplantae; Streptophyta; Magnoliopsida; Poales; Poaceae
Description: partial small subunit ribosomal RNA
Source: RNAcentral
AUUGUAAAGGGACGCACGGGGCAGCGCAUCAGGCUCUACGUCCGGAGCACCAUCCUCGGCUUCAAGAGGUCGAAGUCGAACCAGUACGAGAGCACGUCGCUGGUGCAGGUCGAGGGGGUGAACACCAAGGAGGACGUGGCGUGGUACGGUGUCGCCGUGACGGAAGAAGCCUCCUCUGCUCUGCUCUGCUCGCCGAGGGACGACACCCACUACCGCUGCCUCUGGGGCAAGAUCACCUGCCCGCACGGCAACUCCGGCGUCGUCCACGCCCAGUUCAAGUCCAAUCUCCCCGUCGAGUCCAUGGUCAGGGCGCAAGGUCAGAGUGUUCAUGUACCCGAGCAGCAUCUA